RNAcentral lists this ribosomal RNA (479 nucleotides) under uncultured Rhodoferax sp. RNAcentral describes it as "bacterial SSU rRNA". It matches the Rfam family "Bacterial small subunit ribosomal RNA", at positions 900 to 1382 of the family's 1533-position model. Lineage: Bacteria; Pseudomonadati; Pseudomonadota; Betaproteobacteria; Burkholderiales; Comamonadaceae. The record is from RNAcentral.
CUUAAAUGAAUUGACGGGACCGCACAAGCGGUGGAUGAUGUGGUUUAAUUCGAUGCAACGCGAAAACCUUACCCACCUUUGACAUGUACGGAACCCUUUAGAGAUAGAGGGGUGCUCGAAAGAGAGCCGUAACACAGGUGCUGCAUGGCUGUCGUCAGCUCGUGUCGUGAGAUGUUGGGUUAAGUCCCGCAACGAGCGCAACCCUUGUCAUUAGUUGCUACAUUCAGUUGGGCACUCUAAUGAGACUGCCGGUGACAAGCCGGAGGAAGGUGGGGAUGACGUCAAGUCCUCAUGGCCCUUAUAGGUGGGGCUACACACGUCAUACAAUGGCUGGUACAAAGGGUUGCCAACCCGCGAGGGGGAGCCAAUCCCAUAAAGCCAGUCGUAGUCCGGAUCGUAGUCUGCAACUCGACUACGUGAAGUCGGAAUCGCUAGUAAUCGUGGAUCAGAAUGUCACGGUGAAUACGUUCCCGGGUCUU